GAUUAUGGCUCAGGAUGAACGCUAGCUACAGGCUUAACACAUGCAAGUCGAGGGGCAGCAUUGGAGUAGCAAUACUCAGAUGGCGACCGGCGCACGGGUGAGUAACACGUAUCCAACCUGCCGCUUACUCGGGGAUAGCCUUUCGAAAGAAAGAUUAAUACCCGAUGGUAUAAAGAGUUCGCAUGUUCUCUUUAUUAAAGAAUUUCGGUAAGCGAUGGGGAUGCGUUCCAUUAGAUAGUUGGCGGGGUAACGGCCCACCAAGUCUACGAUGGAUAGGGGUUCUGAGAGGAAGGUCCCCCACAUUGGAACUGAGACACGGUCCAAACUCCUACGGGAGGCAGCAGUGAGGAAUAUUGGUCAAUGGACGAGAGUCUGAACCAGCCAAAGUAGCGUGAAGGAUGACUGCCCUAUGGGUUGUAAACUUCUUUUAUAAGGGAAUAAAGUGAGGGACGUGUCCCUUUUUGUAUGUACCUUAUGAAUAAGGAUCGGCUAACUCCGUGCCAGCCGCGGC
Molecule: ribosomal RNA, 511 nt
Filed under: uncultured bacterium
Lineage: Bacteria
Description: bacterial SSU rRNA
Rfam family: Bacterial small subunit ribosomal RNA
Source: RNAcentral